GAUAUACUAGUAUGUAGAUAUAGGAAGAUGUGGUGUGAGUGCCAAUGAGACAUGCAACUCUCUAUCCAAAUAACAAUUUAUAAAAAGGUAAACCAUUAUAGGUCAAUGUACGGCCUUCAACACGGAGCCUUGGCUCACACCGAACAACAAGCUAUAAAGGGCCCCAAAAUUACUAGUGAAAAAAGAAAUAGCAUAACAUCACAAC
RNAcentral lists this long non-coding RNA (205 nucleotides) under Mytilus galloprovincialis (Mediterranean mussel). Lineage: Eukaryota; Metazoa; Mollusca; Bivalvia; Mytilida; Mytilidae. The record is from RNAcentral.